Molecule: ribosomal RNA, 429 nt
Filed under: Chloroflexota bacterium
Lineage: Bacteria; Bacillati; Chloroflexota
Description: Chloroflexi bacterium partial 16S ribosomal RNA
Rfam family: Bacterial small subunit ribosomal RNA
Source: RNAcentral
UGGGGAAUAUUGCACAAUGGGCGCAAGCCUGAUGCAGCCAUGCCGCGUGUGUGAAGAAGGCCUUCGGGUUGUAAAGCACUUUCAGCGGGGAGGAAGGCGUUAAGGUUAAUAACCUUGGCGAUUGACGUUACCCGCAGAAGAAGCACCGGCUAACUCCGUGCCAGCAGCCGCGGUAAUACGGAGGGUGCAAGCGUUAAUCGGAAUUACUGGGCGUAAAGCGCACGCAGGCGGUCUGUCAAGUCGGAUGUGAAAGCCCCGGGCUCAACCUGGGAACUGCAUUCGAAACUGGCAGGCUAGAGUCUUGUAGAGGGGGGUAGAAUUCCAGGUGUAGCGGUGAAAUGCGUAGAGAUCUGGAGGAAUACCGGUGGCGAAGGCGGCCCCCUGGAAAAAGACUGACGCUCAGGUGCGAAAGCGUGGGGAGCAAACAGG